AUACGUAGGGGGCGAGCGUUGUCCGGAAUUGUUGGGCGUAAAGGGCGUCGUAGACGGCCGGAUAAGUUACUUGUGAAAGCCCGCCUUUCAAGGGCGGAACUGCAAGUAAUACUGUCUGGCUUGAGUGCAGGAGAGGAAAGCGGAAUUCCUAGUGUAGCGGUGAAAUUCGUAGAUAUCGGGAGGAAUACCGGUGGCGAAGGCGACUUUCUGGCUGGAUACUGACGCUGAGGCGCGAAAGCGUGGGGAGC
This 248-nucleotide ribosomal RNA is filed under the name uncultured bacterium. RNAcentral describes it as "partial 16S ribosomal RNA". It matches the Rfam family "Bacterial small subunit ribosomal RNA", at positions 523 to 769 of the family's 1533-position model. The record is from RNAcentral.